GAAAUGCGAUAAGUAAUGUGAAUUGCAGAAUUCAGUGAAUCAUCGAGUCUUUGAACGCACAUUGCGCCCCUUGGCAUUCCGAGGGGCACGCCUGUCCGAGCGUCAUUAUCGACCCCUCGAGCCGCCCCGCUCGGUGUUGAGCCCCGCCCCUCACCGCGGCGGGCUUCGAAAGCAGUCGGCGGCGACGGCGCGGUCCCGAGCGUGAUGCACUCACGGACUCGUCGGAACGCGCCAGCCGGCCCGCUCGACCACCCAAGACGUUGACCUCGGAUCAGGCGGGGACACCCGCUGAACUUAA
Molecule: unclassified non-coding RNA, 298 nt
Filed under: uncultured fungus
Lineage: Eukaryota; Fungi
Description: sequence contains ITS1
Rfam family: 5.8S ribosomal RNA (bases 1-105)
Source: RNAcentral